CCUGAUCCAGCCAUGCCGCGUGAGUGAAGAAGGCCUUCGGGUUGCAAAGCUCUUUCGGCGGGGACGAAACGGUCCGUGACAACACCACGGACUAAUGACGGUACUCGCAGAAGAAGCACCGGCUAACUACGUGCCAGCAGCCGCGGUAAUACGUAGGGUGCGGGCGUUAAUCGGAAUUACUGGGCGUAAAGCGUGCGCAGGCGGCUCCUUAAGUCAGAUGUGAAAUCCCCGGGCUUAACCUGGGAACUGCGUUUGAAACUGAGGGGCUUGAGUGUGGAAGAGGGGGGUGGAAUUCCAGGUGUAGCAGUGAAAAUGCGUAGAGAUCUGGAGGAACACCGAUGGCGAAGGCAGCCCCCUGGGCUAACACUGACGCUCAUGCACGAAAGCGUGGGGAGCAAACAGGAUUAGAUACCCUGGUAGUCCACGCCCUAAACGAUGUCAACUGGUUGUCGGGGAAGCAAUUCCUUGGUAACGAAGCUAACGCGUGAAGUUGACCGCCUGGGGAGUACGGCCGCAAGGUUA
This 522-nucleotide ribosomal RNA is filed under the name uncultured Pseudomonadota bacterium. RNAcentral's name for it is "bacterial SSU rRNA". It matches the Rfam family "Bacterial small subunit ribosomal RNA", at positions 382 to 896 of the family's 1533-position model. Lineage: Bacteria; Pseudomonadati; Pseudomonadota. The record is from RNAcentral.